CCCUGAUAUAAGCAAUAGGUCGCUGGCUGC
RNAcentral lists this non-coding RNA (30 nucleotides) under Mus musculus (house mouse). Lineage: Eukaryota; Metazoa; Chordata; Mammalia; Rodentia; Muridae. The record is from RNAcentral.